Molecule: ribosomal RNA, 368 nt
Filed under: uncultured organism
Description: bacterial SSU rRNA
Rfam family: Bacterial small subunit ribosomal RNA
Source: RNAcentral
CGAAGGAUGCAAGUGUUAUCCGGAUUCAUUGGGUUUAAAGGGAGCGUAGGUGGGUUUGUAAGUCAGUGGUGAAAGCCGGUCGCUCAACGAUCGAAUUGCCAUUGAUACUGCAGACCUUGAGUACAGAUGCUGUGGGCGGAAUAUGACAUGUAGUGGUGAAAUACAUAGAGAUGUCAUAGAACACCGAUUGCGAAGGCAGCUCACAAAACUGUAACUGACACUGAGGCUCGAAAGUGCGGGGAUCAAACAGGAUUAGAUACCCUGGUAGUCCGCACUGUAAACGAUGAUUACUCGCUGCUGGGGGGCAACCUUCAGUGGCUGAGCGAAAGCGAUAAGUAAUCCACCUGGGGAGUACGCCGGCAACGGUG